Molecule: long non-coding RNA, 4623 nt
Organism: Cornus florida
Lineage: Eukaryota; Viridiplantae; Streptophyta; Magnoliopsida; Cornales; Cornaceae
Exons: 4
Source: RefSeq, a predicted model, not a curated record
GCACAAAGAGUCUCUCCUACAACGUUCAGAGCCCUCUAAUAGAGAGUCUCUUACUUCUUUGGCGAAGGAGGAGGAAAUUGUAGAAGAGAUUCUCUGUGCGUCGCUUAGAAGAAACCUAUUAGGGUUUUUAUUGAUUACAAUUUCCUCCUCCUUCGUCGGAGAUGCAAGACAUUCUACUAGAGGGAUCUGAACGUUGUACUUUAUUAUAUUUCUAACUCUUUCCUAAACUUAAAGUUACCAAUUAAAAUAAAUCCUAUUAUGCUCGGAAUUUUUGAAGAUCAAAACAACUUUACUUUUUCUAUUUUAUUUUAUUUCUAACUGAUUCCUAAAUAUAUAUCUAUAAAUCUAAAUCUUUUCAUUAUAAUAUUAUUGUAAUGACCCGAAUCCGAAGGUCCGAAUCGCUAACCGGGUUCUUUCCCGAACCCGAGGUCGUCUAAGGGCACUAUGGUCAAUUCUAAGGUCGAUACAUAAUAUACGUGCCAUCCAAGGCUUAUACAAAAAAAUGAGAUCACAAGUACAAAAGAUGUCAAAACAGUUCACUAACCCAUUUAAACUUGUGGAGGAGCGUCAUCUGCCACUUCCUUCUCGUGACCUAAAAAAUAUAAUAAUAUGAUGGGGUGAGCCAACCGCUCAGUAAGAGGUGUUUAAGACACACCUCUUAAUGACUCCGUGAAUCCAUACAAGGGAUAAAAUACAAGUAAACGGGAUCAUGCCAUAGGGGAUAUCACAGCAACAACAAGAAGUAUGUAUAUAGGUCAUCCAACCACAAAUUACACAAUGUAUGCUAAUGAAGUGCAAUGUCAUGCCAAUGUCGUUCCCUGUUUUCCGAAACAAUUGCGUUUCACUGUUCCAAACCGUUAAUGCAACCCGACCCAUAGCACCUCUAUGGCGCCACGAGGGAAGGAUUGGUUAGCUAUCCCCGACCACAUGGCACCUCCAUGGUGUCGUUCUAGGCCUAGGUAGCUCAACAACUCUAGGGUCUCUCCCUAGUUCUCUCUAAAUCACAUUAACGCCACGGACCAUCAGGCACCUUCUAGGCGUCCGGGUUUUCGUAAACAUUUUUCAAAAUAAUUUUUCCAAAAUUUAUUUCAUUUGCUUUAAAACGGCAUUUCCCUUUCAUUCCCAAUGAAAUGCAUGAAUGCUUCAUGCCAUCCUCAACCAUAACAAUAAAUUCAAUUUUUCCAUAAAUUGCAAUCAACCAUAAUAAUAUAUAUAGCAUACUUUCAAGAAAGUUCACAAAAAAUCAACUCAUGUAUUGACAAAAUAGAAUCUCAACAUUUAUGCACAUUCAACGCAAACACAACUUUCAGCUUAACAUGCUUCAUCUUAUUAAUCCAAUUAAUAUAUAUUUUCAACCAACUAAUUACAUAAAACACGUUGAUACACAAAGCCCUCCAUACCAUAAGCAAAAUAAUUAAUUUAAGCAUGCUUAGAAAUAAUUUAAAGGAAGAAAAUUCACUAAAAUCAAAGAUGAUGUGGAUUAGAACACCCCUACCUCAAUAAAAAAGAAAUGCCCCAAAACAUAGCCAAAACCCGAAAUUCAAAUGGUGGCUAAACGGAACUCUGCUCCGAUCAAAAUGUAGAUCUCGACGCGCAAGUCAAAAUCUUUAUGGUAACAAAAAGAGAAAGAAAUAUAGAACCAAGAGGGGGGGAGAAAAUCGUUGCAGAGAGAGAGAGAAACUAAUGGUCUAUAAUUGAUCCCAAGGCCAUUUGUAAUGGUUCAUUACCAUGGUGGGUACCGUGGCAUAAAAAAUAUAUUUUCUUUAAUUUAAUAAUUAUAUAUAUACUCUCAACAUAAUACCACCACACAAUUAAACACAUAACCAUGUAUAAAUAAUGCAUGAAAUGCAAUGGCAACCAAUUCAUUUCCAAGAGUCCUGAACUCAAGGAAGUGCCUCAACUAACUCUCAAACACACCCGGCGCACACCACGGUGUCCAGCACGCAAAAUGAGACCAGACGAAAAUAACCCCAAAAAAUGGAAAAAAUACCAUAAAAUAAAAAAUGAAAAAAAAUCAGGAUCAUUACAAUUUUAAUUUUAUAAUAAAAUUAUUAUUAUAUUUUGUUAUAAUGUUAUGGUGAGAUACAUUAGUUACAUUUAGAUAUAAAUAAAAAAUAAAAAAUUUAAGUUACGGCAAGUCUUGGUUGGCUUGGGCCUCAAAUUUCAUAGGGGAUGAAAAAAAUAAAAAUAAAAAAUUUAAGUCAGGGCAACUCCAAUUCGGCUUAGGCCUCAAAAUUUGAGGCCCAUAGGGGAUGGGGAAAAAAAAAUAAAAAAUAUAAGUUAGGGCAAGUUUUUCAGACGACACAAUCUGCUUCGACACUCCGCAGGACGCAGUCUCUGUAUCGCUUCAGGCUCAGGUGACACCGUGACAAGGUAUGUUCCUCCUCUCUCUCUCUUCUCUCUCCUUUUGCAUGAAUCGAUCUUUUAUGCAUGUUUCUUUCUUUUGUUCAUCUCGUCAUUUGAUUUAUUCCAACUUUAUAUCUCCUUGUAUCCGUAUGUGUUUGAAAAUGUGUGAUUAGAGACUCAGAACUGAACCAAUUUCGGUCACCGGAGAGGAAUUCUUUCAACCUGAAAGGAGAUGAUGAUAAUAACUCUAAAUUAGGCUCCACGACCAGUCUGAAUCGCAAGAAAGUCUAAAUCACAGCAAUUUCUUGUGCAAAAACUAGGGUUUGUGUUGUGUUUGUUCGCUGAUCGUCAUCAGUUUGUAAGUAAUCUUGACCAUAUUAUAUCUCGGUAGGUUUACAUUUCUUAUUUGGGGUUUAGGGUUUAUCAUUUGGCUGGUUUGUGUCGUGAUUUGUAUGGUAGAUAUUUUCGGUUCAUAAUUGGGGGUUUUCUUUAAAUUGUUCUUGUUUCAUUAAAUUGGUUGCAGAUUGGGGGUUUCAUCUAAUGUUAAUUAUUUUGUUAUUGUUUCACUUCUGUAACCUUAGUGAUUACUGUUAACGUAUAAUUUAUUUUUGUUUAUGUUAUAUUUUGAUGAGAUUAAUUAUGCAAAAGUGAUUGAACUGAGAAUGUAUAUUGUAUGAAGGAACAGUGCAAACUGAGUGGUGAUUUUGGGUUCCACCCUGAUAUACAUACACUGUUUAGUUACUUAUGGGGUUGCAAUUAUGUUAUUCUGUGUUAUUGUGACUGACUUCUGUGAUUUGUGAUCAAUUACCGUAAUUUAUUUUUAUUUUUUAAUAGUAUGAUUGUUUUGAUGUCGGUACUAUGGAUCUCGAUAAAGAACCAAAACCUGAUCUUGAAGAUUACCAAAUAGACCGUUCAUAUAUAAAGAUGAGAGAACAGGCUAAGACUUGGUCGGUAAAGCUAAGGAUAAAGAAUCAAAUACUAGAAGGUUACAGAUCUGGUUUGAGGAGCUAUUAUUUUGAAUUGAAUGCAAAGAAGCCUGUGCGGAAAAACUGUGGAAGGGAGUAAUAGUAAAACAUGGACGAAGGAAAGAAGAUGCUCGAUUUUGGUGUUUGCGCAGAAAAUGGAGAUAUCAGAGAGUAGCCAUUGAUUCAAUACUGAUGUUGAAGGAAUUCAGAACUCCAUAUCUGUUGAGACCGACUGAUGUUGCUGUGGACUGCAACCAAGAAGUGAUUGUGAUUAGUCAUGAAGGAUUUGAUUCCUAUUUUGUUGAGUGGUUGAGGCUUGGAAACGCAUCCUGAGAGUCAGCCUUUUUUUGUAAACACAUCCGACGACUUUGAAUUCAAGGAGUUCUGGAUUGAAUCAAUGAGAAACAUUCUAGAUACAGUAGGAUAUCUACACAAAAUGGGUAGAGCCCAUGGAAAUGUUCGACAUGACCGCUCAUAUGUUAUGUGGGGAGGAAAGAUGCAAAACGGAAGACCUGGAAAAUUUCAAAAAGUUCAUAUUCCGUCACAUUGGCCUAAACAAUCAUCUGUCUAGGCCUCACGAUCGGAAUCCAUUAUACAAUUACAAGACCUCUAAAGCAUCCCGUCUAUUGAAACACCCUUUGUUAUUGAAUGAGAAAGAGAGAUUUCGAUACUUUGUGGCUCUCUGCCAUCAUUUGGGAUAUCAUCACAAGGAUUAUACGUUUAACACUGACUAGAAAAUCAAUCAAGAGUUGAUCAAUCCAUGGGGAAAGGCAAAUUGGAUGGAUAAGGUUCGCAUGGAGCAUAAAAAGCGACUAGUGUGUGUUCCUUAUAAGGUUCUACGCUAUCAAGAAAAUGUGGCUGGAAGUGUAAACCAAUACAAAUCUUGUAUGUCUGAUUAAAGAUUUGUAUUUGUUUUUAUUGCCACCCCCCCUUCCCCCCUAAAGGGUAAGGAAUGUGUGUGUGCUUUAACCAACCAAUCAGAAGGAGGCAUGUGGGAGCAGUUGAGAUAUGAUCAGUUGUUCCAGAGAUACCUUGUGACUUAUAUUCGGUUGUGAUAGCAUAUACAGAUAUGCUAUAUGGCUUAUUUCAGUUAUUGCUGUGGCAUGUUAUUAUUGGUCAGUUUCUGAUAAGUUGGGAGAUGUCCAAUUGAAUAUAUGUAUCUAUAUGUUCGACACCAUAGUUGUUAAAGGCUCAAGGCGCACAAAAGCGCAAAUGUCUCCCGGAGCCUGAGGCGUAAGGCGAGGCGCGUGCCCGACUGAAGCAAAGCGCAUGUUGGGAAAAAAAAAAAAAAAAAAACAAAAACAAAACAAAA